CAGGGGCCCACCCAAUCACUUGCUUCUCAUUGUUGUAAAUCACCAUUCUGUCUUGCAUUGAUAUGUCACCGAUGACAUUUAGAUCGCCCAGCCCUACUUCUGUACCAUUUAGAAUUCCCAAGCAAGCAUUUCCCUCGGAUGAUAUGAUCAGAUACGCUUCUGGGGGGAAUUCAAACUUUCUCCCAUUGCUUGUGAAGCUCAACGCAAAGGUCUUGAAGAAUUUCUUGACAUCAUGAAUGCUUUUAAAACGC
Molecule: unclassified non-coding RNA, 251 nt
Filed under: Hevea brasiliensis (rubber tree)
Lineage: Eukaryota; Viridiplantae; Streptophyta; Magnoliopsida; Malpighiales; Euphorbiaceae
Source: RNAcentral